RNAcentral lists this ribosomal RNA (260 nucleotides) under uncultured bacterium. RNAcentral describes it as "partial 16S ribosomal RNA". It matches the Rfam family "Bacterial small subunit ribosomal RNA", at positions 524 to 777 of the family's 1533-position model. The record is from RNAcentral.
UACGUAGGGACCAAGCGUUUGUUCGGAUUUACUGGGCGUAAAGGGCGCGUAGGCGGCGUGGUAAGUCACUUGUGAAAUCUCUGAGCUUAACUCAGAACGGCCAAGUGAUACUGCUGUGCUAGAGUGCAGAAGGGGCAAUCGGAAUUCUUGGUGUAGCGGUGAAAUGCGUAGAUAUCGGGAGGAACACCAGUGGCGAAGGCGGCUCUCUGGACCAGUACUGACGCUGAGACGCGCAAAGGCGUCGGAUGGAGCAAACGAGG